CUUUUGCGGGGUCCAGCAUCUCUAAGGAAAAGAGGAGAGGGAGGAGGUGUAUUCUGCUGGGUGGAUCCAGUUCUGAGGGAAUGUCUUGUUUUGGCCCGUCUUGAUGGUUCUGAGUGGCCCACCACAAGGCGAGGAACUCCUCCCCAUCUGUGGCACUUCACAGGAUGGGCUGGGCACCUCUGGAGACCCUUUGAUGUGCAUCUUAUUUUAAAGCUCACAGAUAUGUAGGACUGGGAGACAGGGCCAUUCACAUCAUGGUUUGCAAACCCGUCUGACUUGCACACCCAAGUGCUGCUGUGGGCUAAUGCCUGCAGUUCGCAAAGGUGGCCGUGAGUUUGAAGCUCCAAAAAGGGGUAUGUCGUGGGGAAAGACGCACAAAAUUGGGCAUCUCUGGGUGUUAUGCACAAAUGUGUACAAACCCUGUAUAUUAGGAGAAAUGCAUAAUUAUUUUUGUACGGGCUUCAUUAAAAAAAAACGGAAACUGACUCACCAAGCUUCAGGUCAGAAAAAAUGAAAAUGGAAUGGAAUAGAAUUACAGUUGACUGAUCUCAGUAUAUUUGUAGGAAUAAUAAAUAUGGCAUUUAAACAAUA
This is a long non-coding RNA of Candoia aspera, 591 nucleotides long. RefSeq lists it as uncharacterized. The transcript has 2 exons. The record is from RefSeq and is a predicted model, not a curated record. NCBI's taxonomy places the organism in Eukaryota, Metazoa, Chordata, Lepidosauria, Squamata, Candoiidae.